This 337-nucleotide long non-coding RNA is filed under the name Fragaria vesca (wild strawberry). RNAcentral's name for it is "long non-coding RNA (FVES_LNC000358)". The record is from RNAcentral. Lineage: Eukaryota; Viridiplantae; Streptophyta; Magnoliopsida; Rosales; Rosaceae.
UUUUUUGUCUGUGUGUGGGUGUGAUGGUUCGUAUAUGGUUACUUUCUUCAACAAUCAUGAAUUGUAAGUUGGUGUGCAAUCUUUUUCAUACAUUGGAAACUGCAAACAUAACAGUUUUGAUUAGCAAGAAUCUACAUGAGGAAAAGUGUACAUUCUUCGCCUAAAAAUAAGUCAUCUGGUGUAGAAGAACACAGUGCUUUCUUCAGUCUUCACCUAAAAAUAAGUCAUCUGGUGUAGAAGAACACAGCGCUUUCUUCAGUCUUCAUCAGUUACAGAUUUGUUUUUUGAAUAGCAGUUACAGAUAUUUAGGAUAGUCAAUUUUAAUGGCAUGUUAACC